Molecule: ribosomal RNA, 305 nt
Filed under: uncultured bacterium
Lineage: Bacteria
Description: partial 16S ribosomal RNA
Rfam family: Bacterial small subunit ribosomal RNA
Source: RNAcentral
ACAGCAGUAGCCGCGGUAAGAAAGAGGAUGCAAGCGUUAUCCGGAAUGAUUGGGCGUAAAGCGUCUGUAGGUGGCUUUUCAAGUCCGCCGUCAAAUCCCAGGGCUCAACCCUGGACAGGCGGUGGAAACUACCAAGCUGGAGUACAGUAGGGGCAGAGGGAAUUUCCGGUGGAGCAGUGAAAUGCGUUGAGAUCGGAAAGAACACCUACGGUGAAAGCACUCUUCUAGGCCGACACUGACACUGAGAGACAAAAGCCAGGGGAGAAAAUGGGAUUAGAUACCCCUGUAGUCCCUGUCUCUUAUAC